Molecule: long non-coding RNA, 1688 nt
Filed under: Fragaria vesca (wild strawberry)
Lineage: Eukaryota; Viridiplantae; Streptophyta; Magnoliopsida; Rosales; Rosaceae
Description: long non-coding RNA (FVES_LNC004498)
Source: RNAcentral
CAAAAUAAACCUGCCACUAAUCCUACACCUCAACCCUGUUGAUCCUCACCUGCAGGUCUAACCCCUACAUCAAGAAAUGGUGCACCGGGUUGUAAACAACAAACCCGGUAAGCUAAAAAGCUCGUAUGAGUAAACUCAAAAAUAACACAACAUUUAUCACAUUCAAUAUUCCACAAGAGAGGUUUGGAUCAAUAAUUAAAAACCACACAUCCAACACAUUACCCAAGAAAUGUACCCAUGAGUCCCAGAUAUUUAAUAAAAUACCCCUCAUGACUUACAACAACACUAUGUGUACCCAUGGGUCCCAGAUACCAUACAGUAUCUCCCAUGACCAACACUGACAGACGGACUAGAGCUCUAUUCCUAACCGCAACCAAUCACCCGGCUAAAGACUUGGAACUCGGUUUGACUGUCUAAUAUCAAACAUAAAAAUGAUAAAUAGCAACUUAACCGCAACCAAUCACCUAAAUAAGGGCUUGGAACCCGGUUUGGCUAUUUAUCCAACAAUCAUAAUAUCGCAACAUUAUCCUCAACAACACAAUAUCACAUAAUUAUUCUUAACAACACAAUAUCACAUCAUUAUUCUCAACAACACAAUACCACAUCAUAAAUUAUAUCCUAUCACAUGGAUAUAUUUACAUGAACAAUUAUAGAUAUUCCACAAGAAUAAUCUAUCCAAAAAUCAAUAAAAUUAUAAUCACAUGAAUCUCAAAAUAGCAUUUAAAGAAAACUUGUUUUAUCUUACCUAUAAGCCGUUGACGAUCAAACUCAUAUAUUUUUAAAACAAUAAAAGCAUAUUAUUAAAUCCAACAUUAUCUUCAUUAUCAUCAUCACAUGACCAUAAUAAUCAUUGGUUCAAAAGUGAACCUUAGUGAGAUUUACUCACCAAGAUAGCCCGCUGCGUUUCCGCAAAACACAAGAGCAAGCCAACUCACAAUUUCACAAAUCACCUAAAAUAACACACAUGUUAACCUUAGUAACAAACACAACAAGGAUCAAAGUACUCUUAACUUAAAGGUUGCCCCCAAGAAGGGCAAUCCUUCCUCCAAGACCUCCCAAGGUCAUUGAACACUCAACAACAACCAAACUACCUUCAAGAUCAAACUUUCUAAGUUUCCGAUCUAAUGAACACCAAUAAACUUAAGUCCUAGCAUGCCAACCUUGCUUAAAAUCUAGCCAUACUACCACUCAACAAGCUCACAGCAGCAAGGACUAGCUAACCACAGGAAACUAAGGCCGCCACUCAGCCGGACGCGCAGCCACAGGCCGCGGCGAGUGGGCCCCACGCGCCACCCCAAACUUCUGAAUUUGAGAAAACUCCCAACAGCAAAGUUGAAACUUGAAGCAAGGGGAACAACUUUCAUACCUGAGACUUCGACCAAAAAUGGCCGGAACCGGCCGGAAACUGCCCCGAAAACAGCAGCCACAAACAAACCCCAAAACCUGCAAAUCCGGCACCCAAACUUGAUUUUUAGGUCACUAAAGAGGCAUGAACAUCCCUAGAAGAGAGAGGGAAGCAAGACUCACCUUUAUUUGGCCGGAAUCGGCGUCGAAAUCGCCGGUUUUCCGGUAGGACAGCAGCAGCUCCGCCGCUUCGUGGCGGCUUCCAGGCGGCGGGACAGCGGCUAAAACUGCUCCAGGAAUGGAGAGGGCAGCUGUGGGGUUCGAGCGGGACCGGCGGCGUCCGG